Molecule: ribosomal RNA, 419 nt
Filed under: uncultured bacterium
Lineage: Bacteria
Description: bacterial SSU rRNA
Rfam family: Bacterial small subunit ribosomal RNA
Source: RNAcentral
GGGCCCGCACAAGCGGUGGAGUAUGUGGUUUAAUUCGACAAUAAACGGGGAAUCUUACCCAGACUUGACAUCCUAAGAAUCCCAUAGAAAUAUGAGAGUGCCUUUAUUGGAGCUUAGUGACAGGUGCUGCAUGGUUGUCGUCAGCUCGUGCCUUGAGGUGUUCGGUUAAGUCCGUUAACGAGCGUAACCCAUAUUCUUAGUUAUUAUGUCUAAGAAAACUGUCUUGGUUAACAAGAAGGAAGGUGUGGAUGACGUCAAAUCAGCAUGGCUCUUACGUCUGGGGCUACACACAUGAUACAAUGGUGUAUACAAAGAGUUGCAAAGUGGUAACACCUAGCUAAUCUUAAAAAUACAUCUAAGUCCGGAUUGAGUUCUGAAACUCGAACUCAUGAAGUUGGAAUUGCUAGUAAUCGUGAAUC